AAAUUAAGAAAACCCUAACCUUAUUUGACAUGAAUUUCGCACCAUUCUCUCUUUCUCGCUCCUCAAAGAAAAAUUGCUGAAGAUUUUCUUGAUUAACGGCUAGUUUUCAAGAUUCAACACCGGCUGUUUUUCUUGAUCGCCGAAGAUUUUCUUGAUUAACAGCUAGUUUUCAAGAUUCAACACCGACUGUUUUUCUUGAUCGCCGAAGAUUUUCUUGAUUAACGGCUAGUUUUCAAGAUUAAACAACGGCUAUUUUUUUUUCUAUUUAAGGGCAACCCUAGCACUCUAGCUGGCCACUGGUUUCUGGAGUUGCUCCGAGAAGAUGGCUUUUGACUGCAUCGCCUUCAAAGCGCGCUUCAUCUAUUAAUGACUUGUCCCCGUUGGAGGUAAUCUUGGGCUCAGACUUGAUUUCAGGAAUGCUUUUUGACGUAUGCUUUAUUGUUCUAUGAGGGUAUAAGAACACUGAAGUUGGUCAGGAUGCUUCCAUUUGCGUACAAGUCAAGCUACCAUUUGUGCUAGACAGGAGAGGCCAGUGGUGUUUUCAGGUGACAAGAUUAUCUUUGUUGGUUCAAUGACGUGGUAAAAUGGGGGUGCUAUGCAGUCGAGUGCGUAUGAUUGUGCCGGAGCAGAGGGGUUUCAUGAAGACUUUGAUUCCACAGUUGUUGUUUGUCCUGUUAAAAGCCAGAGAAUCGAGCUGAUUGACGAGGUAGGAUGAUUGAGAUGACAGUUUAAGCUAUGACGACAACCAAUGCUUUUUUACGCAUGUUUUUUCCCCCAAUUUUAGAUUUGCCGGAACUGAUCUAUUGUGACUGCAUCAUGUAAAUGGAUUGGAAUUAUUGAAAUGGCUUCUUUGUGUUUUA
Non-coding RNA from Sesamum indicum (sesame), 860 nucleotides. NCBI's taxonomy places the organism in Eukaryota, Viridiplantae, Streptophyta, Magnoliopsida, Lamiales, Pedaliaceae. The record is from RefSeq and is a predicted model, not a curated record.